RNAcentral lists this ribosomal RNA (251 nucleotides) under uncultured bacterium. Its description in RNAcentral is "partial 16S ribosomal RNA". It matches the Rfam family "Bacterial small subunit ribosomal RNA", at positions 524 to 776 of the family's 1533-position model. The record is from RNAcentral.
UACGUAGGGUGCAAGCGUUAAUCGGAAUUACUGGGCGUAAAGCGUGCGCAGGCGGUGAUGUAAGACAGAUGUGAAAUCCCGGGCUCAACCUGGGAACUGCAUUUGUGACUGCAUCGCUGGAGUACGGCAGAGGGGAUGGAAUUCCGCGUGUAGCAGUGAAAUGCGUAGAUAUGCGGAGGAACACCGAUGGCGAAGGCAAUCCCCUGGGCCUGUACUGACGCUCAUGCACGAAAGCGUGGGGAGCAAACAGG